RNAcentral lists this ribosomal RNA (410 nucleotides) under uncultured Fusibacter sp. RNAcentral's name for it is "bacterial SSU rRNA". It matches the Rfam family "Bacterial small subunit ribosomal RNA", at positions 977 to 1382 of the family's 1533-position model. The record is from RNAcentral. Lineage: Bacteria; Bacillati; Bacillota; Clostridia; Eubacteriales; Fusibacteraceae.
GAUCUUGACAUCCAAUUGACCUAUCUUUUAAUACGAGAUUUUGCCUUCGGGUACAAUUGAGACAGGUGGUGCAUGGUUGUCGUCAGCUCGUGUCGUGAGAUGUUGGGUUAAGUCCCGCAACGAGCGCAACCCUUGUGUUUAGUUGCAAACAGGUCAAGCUGUGCACUCUAGACAGACUGCCGUGGACAACACGGAGGAAGGUGGGGAUGACGUCAAAUCAUCAUGCCCCUUAUGAUCUGGGCUACACACGUGCUACAAUGGCCGGUACAACGGGCAGCGAAGGAGCGAUCCGGAGCGAAUCCUAAAAAGCCGGUCCCAGUUCGGAUUGCAGGCUGAAACUCGACUCCAUGAAGUUGGAAUCGCUAGUAAUCGCAGAUCAGCAUGCUGCGGUGAAUACGUUCCCGGGCCUU